UGACUGUGGGUGGGGCCGAGGAGGCCUGACAGGAAGCUGGUGUGCUGUGAGAAGUGUGGGUAGCCACCAAAGGGGAAGCUGGCUGUCAGUGAACUUUGGAGGCUGAAGUAGAGUUGGGAAAUCUUGUCUCCCAACUUCAUCAGAGGCUGCAGGCGACAAGACUGAAACCCACAGUUCAAGAAAUGGAGACCUGAGAGUCUGGAAGUUGCCUUAUCCUGGAUUGUCAGGGCCAGAACACCUGGUAUAGAUCAAGAUAGGAUGAUGGAGAAGGAGGAAGCUGAGCCCAUCAGGAUUCCCCCCCAGUACCAUGUGGACCAGAAGCUUCCUCUUCUUAGAGGCACAGGGCAAGAGGAAGCUGGUGAUUUUUUCUAGUCUCCGCCCCUCAACUGCACCAGGAACAUCAGAGAUAUGUGCAGGAGCCUGGAAGCUUGAACUCCACACUGUUGCAGACUAGGAGAGUUCAUGGGAGUCUGUUUACCAUCCAUACUGAACCUAACACGGACUCUGACCAUGGGCUCUGCCCCUCAAAGGUCUGGACUCUCCAGGAACUGCAAUUCCUGCUCCAGAGCUCUUAGGAAGUACUGAGGAGGAUGGUUUCCUCCAUCUUCACUCCAGCUGUGAUAAUGAAACUCUGAAGGCACCCGAGGAACACCUGGUGAUCAAGAGUGAAGGUGGCCUCUGAGUCAGGAAGGAGGAUGUAGCCAUGACUCUCAGGUUGCUGAGAGGAAGAGUUAGCACAUUUCUGAGAAACAUAUAGGUGGUUCCUCUCUGGUUCCAAGAUCUUUUCCAAGCUAUGAGUAAUGUUGAACCCCAUCUUAAAAUGUGUUAUCCACCCAAGUAUCUACAUCUCUUAACCUACUUGGAGAAUUGAUGUUCCAUUACUUCUCAUAGUGGUACUUCAAGUAAACAAGUGUAUA
Molecule: non-coding RNA, 917 nt
Organism: Castor canadensis (American beaver)
Lineage: Eukaryota; Metazoa; Chordata; Mammalia; Rodentia; Castoridae
Source: RefSeq, a predicted model, not a curated record